This 481-nucleotide ribosomal RNA is filed under the name uncultured bacterium. RNAcentral's name for it is "partial 16S ribosomal RNA". It matches the Rfam family "Bacterial small subunit ribosomal RNA", at positions 28 to 507 of the family's 1533-position model. The record is from RNAcentral.
GAUGAACGCUGGCGGCGUGCUUAACACAUGCAAGUCGAACGAAACACCUUAUUUGAUUUUCUUCGGAACUGAAGAUUUGGUGAUUGAGUGGCGGACGGGUGAGUAACGCGUGGGUAACCUGCCCUGUACAGGGGGAUAACAGUCAGAAAUGACUGCUAAUACCGCAUAAGACCACAGCACCGCAUGGUGCAGGGGUAAAAACUCCGGUGGUACAGGAUGGACCCGCGUCUGAUUAGCUGGUUGGUGAGGUAACGGCUCACCAAGGCGGCGAUCAGUAGCCGGCUUGAGAGAGUGAACGGCCACAUUGGGACUGAGACACGGCCCAAACUCCUACGGGAGGCAGCAGUGGGGAAUAUUGCACAAUGGGGGAAACCCUGAUGCAGCGACGCCGCGUGAGUGAAGAAGUAUUUCGGUAUGUAAAGCUCUAUCAGCAGGGAAGAAAAUGACGGUACCUGACUAAGAAGCCCCGGCUAACUACGUG